Molecule: ribosomal RNA, 492 nt
Filed under: uncultured bacterium
Lineage: Bacteria
Description: partial 16S ribosomal RNA
Rfam family: Bacterial small subunit ribosomal RNA
Source: RNAcentral
AGUGAACGCUGGCGGUAGGCCUAACACAUGCAAGUCGAACGGCAGCACAGUAAGAGCUUGCUCUUACGGGUGGCGAGUGGCGGACGGGUGAGGAAUACAUCGGAAUCUACUUUUUCGUGGGGGAUAACGUAGGGAAACUUACGCUAAUACCGCAUACGACCUACGGGUGAAAGCAGGGGAUCUUCGGACCUUGCGCGAUUGAAUGAGCCGAUGUCGGAUUAGCUAGUUGGCGGGGUAAAGGCCCACCAAGGCGACGAUCCGUAGCUGGUCUGAGAGGGUGAACAGCCACACUGGAACUGAGACACGGUCCAGACUCCUAAGGGAGGCAGCAGUGGGGAAUAUUGGACAAUGGGCGCAAGCCUGAUCCAGCCAUACCGCGUGGGUGAAGAAGGCCUUCGGGUUGUAAAGCCCUUUUGUUGGGAAAGAAAAGCAGCAGGUUAAUACCCCGCUGUUCUGACGGUACCCAAAGAAUAAGCACCGGCUAACUUCGUG